Molecule: ribosomal RNA, 237 nt
Filed under: uncultured bacterium
Lineage: Bacteria
Description: partial 16S ribosomal RNA
Rfam family: Bacterial small subunit ribosomal RNA
Source: RNAcentral
CGAACGGGUGAGUAACGCGUGAGGAACCUGCCUCAAAGAGGGGGACAACAGUUGGAAACGACUGCUAAUACCGCAUAAGCCCACGGCUCGGCAUCGAGCAGAGGGAAAAGGAGCAAUCCGCUUUGAGAUGGCCUCGCGUCCGAUUAGCUAGUUGGUGAGGUAACGGCUCACCAAGGCAACGAUACAUAGGGGGACUGAGAGGUUAACCCCCCACAUUGGUACUGAGACACGGACCAA